AUGAAUGGACUUAAAGCUGAAGACACAGCCAAGUACUACUGCAAUGUUCUGGCAGGAGUUUCAAUAACUGAAUCAGGAGGAGGAGUGAAGAGUCCUGGAGAUUCGCUUCGACUUACUUGCACAAGCUCUGGCUUCAAUAUCGACAGCUACUUCAUGGAAUGGUUCCGCCAGGCAGAUGGAAAAGGGCUGGAGUGGAUCGCGCGGAUAUAUCAGACCACCACGUAUAAAGCCAAUUCUUUGCAAGAUCGAGUCACAAUCUCCAAAGAAAGUUCCAGGAACCAAGUUUAUCUGGACAUGAAAGGACUGAAAGCUGAAGACACAGCCAAAUAUUACUGCAGCAGGGAACACAGUGGAGAAAAAUUAAUCUGA
Molecule: non-coding RNA, 369 nt
Organism: Thamnophis elegans (Western terrestrial garter snake)
Lineage: Eukaryota; Metazoa; Chordata; Lepidosauria; Squamata; Natricidae
Source: the annotation of a RefSeq genome assembly